CGUGCUCUGCGCCUGGCCACGCCCCCAGAGCCCGCCCCACCGGCUCCCUCCGGCACUACCCAGAGAAGCGUUGCGGCGUCUCAAACUACGGCUAGUAGGCAGGUAUGGUGAGCCCUGAGGACUGCCCUGCCCUCGUGGUGCUUGCGGUCUUGCAAAAGAGACUGGUAGGUGAACCUGCAGUGACAACACAGUGAGGAUGCUUGAGAGCUUCCUGACCGAGUAUGAGUAAGAAUGAGUAAGAUUGUUCAGAGCAAAGACUAAUGGAGGUGAGUACCGGUGUUUGUGGGCUGGAUCCUGCGACUCUUUCCUCAAGUGUGCCUCUCCCUCUGCCUCUCCAAUUCAACCGUGCUGAAAUCUAGCAGGCCUGGGAGCACAAGCUUAUUUUUGCACUGCUUGAGCCACCUGGAUUCAAAGCCUGCCUGGCUGUGGAGUUCUUCCAAUCUAGCCCCUUAGAGCAUCUGUUCCCUAAAAGGCCCUGCUCCCUGCUAUAAAUCAGGGGCAAAUCAUAUCAGUGGUUCCAGGCUACCUUCCAUGUCCUCACCUACCUCUACCCUCCCUCUCAUCCCACCUGCUGUGCAUGAUGGCUAUGAGCACCUGCAGGCGUGGUGCAGGCCUGGGGGGCCUUCUGCUGGUUCCUCGGCCUAAGGAACAAACUGGCACCAGAGCCACGUGGAAUCAGGGAGGAGGACAGGCACCCACAGAGCACACAGACAUCAGUGUCACUGCUUCAUAGUCAGACCCUCCAAUUUAUGAUAGAUUUUACUGAUUUCAUCAAACAAGACCUGCCAGAGUCUGACCCCUUGACACUGACCAGCCAGACAGGCAAGGACAUGGCACAGCCUGGCUGUGAUUCUGCUUGCUUUCACACAGCACAGUCAGGUGGACACCCUCUGCUCACUGGCUCGGUUUUCUAAAACCUUAAGUCAAUGUCAGUGUUGAAUUUUCCCCACCAUCCUUCAUGUGUGAAAAGAUGAAGGUCCUAGACCUUUUCCCAACAGAGGGACCCCCUCACUUUCCUGGACCCCUGAGCUUAAUUUUCCUGAACCAGUCCCAAAGCUAAACAUGGGAGGCCCCUGCCAUUUCCCAUUGUUUGUGAGCCGUCCUGCAGUCCUGAAACGUGUCUCUGUCAAUUUGCUGGGGCAGGAAAGAAGCAGAAUCAGGGUCCUAGGAGGCUGGGUCCACUGGGGUGCCAAUGGCCAGGAUGCAAGUCUUUGCCACUCUAGGCAGCCUUUGCCCUCAGGACUGGACACCUGGGUAGAUCCUGACUCUGCAGCUUAUGACCCUGAGCAUGUCACCUACUCUCACUGUUCCUCGAUUUCCCCAUCUAUAAAUGGGAAUAAUGAUAAUGCGACUCCUGGGGUGUUUUUUAAAGAAUUUAAUGAGUUGAUAUCUGUAAAGUACUUUGAACAAUGUGUGUCACCGUGACGGAUUGAGGAAAUGUGUAGAUCUUUAUUCACCAAGGCAUGGUGGUUAGGAAGUGGCCCACGUGGCACCUUGGGAAAUGCUCAGGUGAUUGUGAUGUAAGCCAGGGUUGACAAUACUGCCCUCCACAGUGUUCUCAGCCCCCCUGGUGGAGUUUUAUUCACAUGUCUGACUCCCCACCCUCCCACCAGCUGGGAACCUCUCCAAGAGCCACAGGGCCAUUCCCACCUCCUAUUCCCUGUACUUGUUAGAGUCGGUGUUCAGGAAGUAUUUGCAGAAUACAUGACUGAGUUAUGCUGGGAGUCAAGGAGCAUGACUAGUGGGCAGAUCCAGAGGUGCUGGCCUGUGAAGGUCAGCUUGGCCCACAUUUCUCAGGGGCCCACAGGGGAGAGGCUGCUGUGGCAAGGGCUCUGAACCCCAGUUUUGUCCCUUCUGGAAAAGGUACCUACCAAGUGGCCCCCAGUACCUUCUGUCAUUGCUCAUAGCAGCAGGUGGAGGCCACCCACAGGCAGCGACCCCCAGGUCCAGACCAGCUGAAUGGCAUGCUGAUUGUCCUGUACUGGUCCCUGGGGAGGAAGGUGUCCUAGCCUUGAGGUCUGGACUCAGCCCCUGCAGAGGAAGCAUAGGCAGGGGUUCUGGGCUGCAGAGGCACAGGCUCUCAGAGCCACUCUGGAGCUGGGCCACAGCUGCUCUGGUCUGGCCCUGGCCUGCCUUCUAACUGCAGACCCAGAGCUUCCUUCAUGUCCUAACUCCCAUUUGAUCCAUGUUGGAUCCUGCACCUAAGGUUCUUCCUGCCAGCCAAAUGAAUGUCAGGAGCCAUCUGCUGGGUAAGCCAGUGACAGCUGUUGGGAAAAUGCUUGCAUACAUAUGAAUCAAUUUUGUUUUGCCUCAGAUUAAGAACUUCAGUUGAGCAAGGGGAGAUUUGCUAAAUUAUUCAGAGGUUACAUGAACCUGAGGAAGGCAGUACUAACCGCCUAGGGGAAAGGCAGAAGCCAGAAGCCUAGAGACAACCAAGGAUGCCAGCAGGCAGGAUGCCCUGUGGCCUAAGGAGGAAGUCACUGUGGUGUUGUAGCCACAGGUUUGUGGCCCCUUAUAACAGUGCUGGGCCCAUGUUCCCCUGACUGGGCUGAUGCUGGGCUGGUCCUCAGCAGAGGCAGCUUUUGGUGCUCACCAAGGUGAGCAGAGCUUUCACAUUUCCCCAGGCCCUCACAGGAAGUCUUGCCCUAAGCCUGUUCUGCCCAGUUCCACACGGAACUCCCUCCACAACAAUAUCACAGCUCCCAUGCAGGGAGCAGCUGCUCUGUGUGAGGGUGUUUCCUUACAUUGCCUUGUUUGAUCACCAAAAACCUAUUAAAGAAAAGCAGAUAUUAGUCCCCUGGUCCAGAUGGGAAGCAGCAGCUCAGAGAGGUUAAAUAACUUGCCUGUGGACACACAGCUAUUGCUGUUAGGGCCAGGAUGAGACUCCUGGAGCCCUAAUGCAAAGCCAGUGCUGUUUCUUCUAAUGAGGCUGCAGCCUCACUGGGAAAGGAUGGAAUACCUAGGGUUUCUACCGCUGAGACAGCGACACCUUUAGGUGAAGUGACAAAGCUUCCUGGAGACCCCAGGGAGCCCCACUCCCCUGCUGGGGCAUUCUAGUUGAACAUAUUUGAAGCAGUAGUUCAUGGGGUCCCCAGGAGCCCCAGUGGGAGAAUUUCAGUCACUGAGUCACUGCUUUGCCAUAUAGGGGUAUGAUAUGAUGCUGUCCUGAGUUCUCUCUUCUGAAAGUUUGGUUCUUUGUAAAACUUCUUCUAAGGAGAGAAAGAUGGAGAGUGAGAUUCAGUCAACUUUCAGAAAAGGAAGCUCUGAACCACCUGGGACACUUAUUACAUGCAGAUUCCCAGGCCUAUCUGAGAACUACUGAAUGAGACUGUGUGCAAGAUGCAGGGAGCUGCACUGUUCAUGAGCUUGUCCCUGAGGUAAUUUGUGUGUACCCUAACGUUUGAGAAUCACUGCUUUUAGAUAAGCCAACAUUUAGGUUAAUGUUAUUUAAAUACCUGAGGAGUGGAACCUCUCAAACCCAUGCAGCCCCUUCUGAGGGAAAAGGCCUUGGGCACACCUGAAGGAAGCAAAGGUCUCCUACAGAAACCAAGUGGCCCACCCAUGCACACCAGCAGGAGCCUUGAAGAACACACACACACAGGCACAUACAGCACACACACAAUCUUGCCCCAGGCAGUGUUUGGAAGUCUAACGCAAAUAAGGGUGAUAUUAAUUCCCCAGUCCCAUUAUGUUCUCUCUCAGGUAGUCAAAGCAGAGAUGUGGGGAGAGAGUUGGUCAUCUCUAGUGGGCCCUAAAAAGCCCUGAGGCCCUAAUUGACUAGCAGGGAUGGAGCCCACACUGUGAGUUGGUUAUGCUCUUUGCCACCUGGGUGAACAUCACAGUGGACCAGGUUCUGUUCCCAGCUACACCCCACCCCUUUGAAGGUGGGCAUGGCCACAUGGGCCCACUCUGGCCAGUGCAUUUGAUAGAUGGCAGGGUCAUUUCCACAUGAAAGCAUUCAAAAACCAGGAGGUCUCCAUCUUCCCUUGUCCCAAUGGGCCUCCUGAUAUUGGGUCUCCAAGUGGGGAUGGCAUGGAGCAGAGACAUGCCAACUCAUGGAUGGACAUGUAGUGGAAGCAAAAGUAAAUCUCUGUGGUUUUAAGGCACAGAUUCAAGGUUAUUUGUGACCACCUAAUUAUCUACCCCCUCCUGCUGCAAUACCACACUUAAGAGCCAAACCACCACAAGGGUUAAACUCACUCUGCUUAGACAAUUCAUGUAAUCUGGGCACUAAACUACAAGGGGGUUAUGGAGUGGCUCAUUAAUAGGAGAUGAUAAUUUUGUUCACUGGAAGCAGUACUGCAGAUUCUAAAUGCUUAGGCCUUUACAGCCAUUGUCAGCUGAUGCUGCAAAGCCUUGCUAAAAAACAAACAAGCAAUGACUGUGCAAUGCAGAGCUGCUAAAAAAUGCUUCGUUUAUCAGUGGGUGAGUGUCUUUGUGUCUUUCUUUUUUCUCCAUUGAAAGAGCUCAACAAAGGUGAUAAUCCUGGAAUGUGAACAAAAGAGGACUGGGAAAGCUCCAUUUCUCAAUUUUCUGUCUCCCACCCCCGCCCUUCACACCCAUUUCUUUGAAAAGCUGAAAGCAAUGCACAGAUGUAAGGAGCUGUGUUCAUUCUUGUGGUUACAAGCCCCCCUCGGUUCCCAUGGCAGCCUGGCAUGCUCUGCCAUGUACUUUUCACACCACAUUUUGUCUCAUACCUUGUCAGUCUCUCCCAACUGGGCUGUGAAUGUCUCUCAGAGAAGGGCACAGCCUUCCUUCCUACAUCUAGGCCACCUGGCUGAACACCUGGCACUUUAGGUGAGGGGAGAACAGAACAAAAGUAGAGGCCACGAAACAGCACCUUGAGCCCU
This is a long non-coding RNA of Phyllostomus discolor (pale spear-nosed bat), 4850 nucleotides long. RefSeq lists it as uncharacterized. NCBI's taxonomy places the organism in Eukaryota, Metazoa, Chordata, Mammalia, Chiroptera, Phyllostomidae. The record is from RefSeq and is a predicted model, not a curated record. The transcript is spliced from 3 exons.